RNAcentral lists this ribosomal RNA (846 nucleotides) under uncultured bacterium. RNAcentral's name for it is "bacterial SSU rRNA". It matches the Rfam family "Bacterial small subunit ribosomal RNA", at positions 35 to 880 of the family's 1533-position model. The record is from RNAcentral.
GCUAGCGGGAGGCCUAAUACAUGCAAGUCGAGCGGUAGAUCUGACUUCGGUUGGAUUGAGAGCGGCGUACGGGUGAGUAACGCGUACACAAUCUGCCUUCAAGAGGGGAAUAGCCCUGGGAAACCGGGAUUAAUGCCCCAUGGUAUUACGGGCCGGCAUCGGUCUGUAAUUAAAGCUAAGGUGCUUGGAGAUGAGUGUGCGUCUGAUUAGCUAGUUGGUGGGGUAACGGCCUACCAAGGCGACGAUCAGUAGGGGGCGUGAGAGCGUGGACCCCCACACGGGUACUGAGACACGGACCCGACUCCUACGGGAGGCAGCAGUAAGGAAUAUUGGUCAAUGGAGGGAACUCUGAACCAGCCAUCCCGCGUGCAGGAAGACGGCCCUCUGGGUUGUAAACUGCUUUUAUCUGGGAAGAAAAGUCUUCAUUUAUGAGGAUCUGACGGUACCAGAGGAAUAAGCAUCGGCUAACUCCGUGCCAGCAGCCGCGGUAAUACGGAGGAUGCAAGCGUUAUCCGGAUUUACUGGGUUUAAAGGGUGCGCAGGCGGAACGACAAGUCAGUGGUGAAAUCUCCUGGCUCAACCAGGAAACUGCCAUUGAUACUAUCGUUCUUGAGUCCAGUUGAAGUAGGCGGAAUGUAGCAUGUAGCGGUGAAAUGCUUAGAUAUGCUACAGAACACCGAUAGCGAAGGCAGCUUACUAAACUGAAACUGACGCUCAUGCACGAAAGCGUGGGGAUCAAACAGGAUUAGAUACCCUGGUAGUCCACGCCCUAAACGAUGAUCACUCAUUGUUGGCAAAUAUAUCGUCAGCGACUAGGCGAAAGCAUUAAGUGAUCCACCUGGGGAG